This 823-nucleotide long non-coding RNA is filed under the name Zostera marina. RNAcentral's name for it is "long non-coding RNA (ZMAR_LNC003617)". Lineage: Eukaryota; Viridiplantae; Streptophyta; Magnoliopsida; Alismatales; Zosteraceae. The record is from RNAcentral.
UCAGAAAAGGAUAGGGGUCCUUGACUUUUUAGGUUUCUCCAGAAUAAACGGAGGGGGAUCCGAAAGGAUAUCGUCCUGGGUCACCUCCGAUGGCAGUCUAACUAGGGAAAGAGGUUCGACAGGGCUAUGAGAGAUGACUACUUCGAUGGGAGUAGGUAAACGUUCAGCUUGAGAGCCAAAUUUGUUGACGUUAACCUCCUCUUUGAAUUUGAAGGAACUACACCUGCUACUGGAACCCUCAGCCCGAUCGCUCGCUGAAUGAGCAGAUCUAGGGCUCUGGUCAGAGUCUUCGGAAUUUUUCUCUUUAGAAGGAGAAUCAGGGCCUACAAGAAAGAUUAAUAAAUAAACUCUACUCGAAGAAAGAAAAAUAAUAAGGGUAGGAGAAACUUACUGGACCUAGAAUUACGAGGCGACAUCUUUUUUAAAGAAUUCUUUUGAGAAAUCUUCUUCGGCGGCGAAAUCUUCUUAGUUGAAGAAUCCCUGGGCAGAGUUUCGGCAGGGAUGUUAGAUCCAUAUGUCUGGAUGAAGAUAGUGCCACCCUCAACCACAGGGAUAACCUGCAGAGAGGUGUCCCCCGCAUCAUCUUUAGAUAUCUCAGCCCGGCUUUUUUCAGGAUAAGCCUUGGAGAGUUUGCUAGUCUGAUCCUUUCCGAAAGACAUAUUGAGCAGAGAGCUGCAGCAAAAAACAAAGGUCAGAAAACACUUAAAACAGGAGUCGAUAUUAAGAAAGUCGACCCCCAGAAGUCGAUAUAAAAAGAGAAGGACUCCCUGCAAGUCGACUUUUGAAGGUCGAGCUCAAGAAGUCGACCCUACCCCCAGGGAGC